RNAcentral lists this long non-coding RNA (475 nucleotides) under Marmota monax (woodchuck). The record is from RNAcentral. Lineage: Eukaryota; Metazoa; Chordata; Mammalia; Rodentia; Sciuridae.
CUGGGGAAAUGGAUUCUUCCAUUCAACUGUACCCCAUCCCCAGGCCUGAUCCUCACCAGGGUUAGAAGUAGCUCUCUUUUCAGUUAAUGACCCUGGGGCUCAGCCCUUGUAGCUCUUCUCCCUUGAAGGAAGAGAGACCGUUGCACGGUUUCCCUGGUAAACCCCAUCGAGCAGCAGCUCCGUGCAUUGGCAUGUGCCAGGCGAGAGGGAGGUACAGGCUUGCUCUGGCCCUGCGCUCAGCUCUGCAGCAGGGGUGGAUGCUGCCUACAGAACAGGACACUCUAUACCUUCCCUCAGAGGAAAGGGAACAAAGUGGUCUGGAGUCCAGUGUGGGGUGGGGGGAACCUGCCAGACCAGGAGUUGUGGUAGGCGGGCUUCCUGGAGGAGGUGGCCUCUGGGAGGCCUUAAGCAACAUGUACCUGUGCAGAUCAGGGAGUAGGGAGCAGAAUUGGAGCUCAUUCCAACCCCACAGAAC